Molecule: ribosomal RNA, 401 nt
Filed under: uncultured bacterium
Lineage: Bacteria
Description: bacterial SSU rRNA
Rfam family: Bacterial small subunit ribosomal RNA
Source: RNAcentral
GGGGAAUAUUGCACAAUGGGGGCAACCCUGAUGCAGCGACGCCGCGUGAGCGAUGAAGCCCUUCGGGGCGUAAAGCUCCUUCGACCGGAACGAUAAUGACGGUACCGGGAGAAGAAGCUGCGGCUAACUACGUGCCAGCAGCCGCGGUAAUACGUAGGCAGCAAGCGUUGUUCGGAGUUACUGGGCGUAAAGAGUGCGUAGGCGGUUUUCUAAGUUCGGUGUGAAAUCUCCCGGCUUAACUGGGAGGGUGCGCCGAAGACUGGGAAGCUGGAGUGUGGGAAAGGCAGGCGGAAUUCCUGGUGUAGCGGUGAAAUGCGUAGAUAUCAGGAGGAACACCGGCGGUGUAGACGGCUUGCUAGACCAUAACUGACGCUGAGGCACGAAAGCGUGGGUAGCAAACA